This 510-nucleotide unclassified non-coding RNA is filed under the name Hevea brasiliensis (rubber tree). The record is from RNAcentral. Lineage: Eukaryota; Viridiplantae; Streptophyta; Magnoliopsida; Malpighiales; Euphorbiaceae.
GCAAAAUCAUGUUACUAUCAUGUGAAUUCAUACUAAUUGAAGCUGACUUGGUCAGAAUGCAAGUGUUAAUCCUAGUUCUUUGCAAAUCUGCUUUGUUUACAAUUUGAAGACUAAGAUAACAGCACACCUGGAGAAGUUUGGAGUGAAAUUAAACUAAAAUUUAGUUUAUUAAUACACUCGACUUCUGAUGAGAAAUUCUCAAAUGAGGGUUGUGACAUGGGCUUUUGGAAUUUUUUUUUAUUGAUUGUUUGGAGGACAUAAUUAUGAUAAAGACAAUUUAGUGAAACCCAGUGCAUAAAUAUUUUGAUGUAAAAUGUGGUCUAGGUUUUUGGCUGAUAGAAUAAAUUACCUUUGGAGCUACUUUUGUGUAUAAAUAUUUUCUUAGAUGCAUCUUGAGUGGUCUAAUGUCUUCAAAUGAUAAUGCCACAAUUCUGCACUUGUCUUCUUUACAGGUUGCUCUUCCAAGUAUGAUAGAAGCUUAUAAUAUUUUUCUCCAAACUUUUGCCUGUU